UGGGGAAUAUUGGACAAUGGGCGCAAGCCUGAUCCAGCAAUGCCGCGUGGAUGAAGAAGGUUUUCGGAUUGUAAAGUCCUUUCGGCGGGGACGAUGAUGACGGUACCCGCAGAAGAAGCCCCGGCUAACUUCGUGCCAGCAGCCGCGGUAAUACGAAGGGGGCUAGCGUUGCUCGGAAUGACUGGGCGUAAAGGGCGCGUAGGCGGAAUGCUUUGUCGGAUGUGAAAUUCCAGGGCUUAACCUUGGGGCUGCAUUCGAGACGGGUAUUCUAGAGUGGAGAAGAGGGUCGUGGAAUUCCCAGUGUAGAGGUGAAAUUCGUAGAUAUUGGGAAGAACACCGGUGGCGAAGGCGGCGACCUGGUCUUUGACUGACGCUGAGGCGCGAAAGCGUGGGGAGCAAA
Molecule: ribosomal RNA, 400 nt
Filed under: uncultured bacterium
Lineage: Bacteria
Description: bacterial SSU rRNA
Rfam family: Bacterial small subunit ribosomal RNA
Source: RNAcentral